CUACGGGCGGCAGCAGUGGGGAAUAUUGGACAAUGGGGGAAACCCUGAUCCAGCAAUGCCGCGUGUGUGAAGAAGGCCUGCGGGUUGUAAAGCACUUUCGGUUGGGAGGACUGCUUCUAGCACUAAUAUUGUUGGAAGUUGACGUUACCUUCAGAAGAAGCACCGGCUAACUCCGUGCCAGCAGGCCGCGGUAAUACGGAGGGUGCAAGCGUUAAUCGGAAUUACUGGGCGUAAAGCGCGCGUAGGCGGCUAGGUCAGUCGGGUGUGAAAGCCCCGGGCUUAACCUGGGAACUGCAUCCGAUACUGUCUAGCUUGAGUACAGGAGAGGAGAGUGGAAUUCCACAUGUAGCGGUGAAAUGCGUAGAUAUGUGGAGGAACACCAAUGGCGAAGGCAGCUCUCUGGCCUGAUACUGACGCUGAGGUGCGAAAGCGUGAGGAGCAAACAGGAUUAGAUACCCGGGUAGUC
RNAcentral lists this ribosomal RNA (466 nucleotides) under uncultured bacterium. RNAcentral describes it as "partial 16S ribosomal RNA". It matches the Rfam family "Bacterial small subunit ribosomal RNA", at positions 339 to 795 of the family's 1533-position model. The record is from RNAcentral.